Molecule: ribosomal RNA, 425 nt
Filed under: uncultured bacterium
Lineage: Bacteria
Description: partial 16S ribosomal RNA
Rfam family: Bacterial small subunit ribosomal RNA
Source: RNAcentral
GUGGGGAAUAUUGGGCAAUGGGCGAAAGCCUGACCCAGCAACGCCGCGUGAAGGAAGAAGGUUUUCGGAUCGUAAACUUCUAUCCUUGGUGAAGAUAAUGACGGUAGCCAAGAAGGAAGCCCCGGCUAACUACGUGCCAGCAGCCGCGGUAAUACGUAGGGGGCAAGCGUUGUCCGGAAUGAUUGGGCGUAAAGGGCGCGUAGGCGGCCCGUGAAGUCUGAAGUGAAAGUCCUGCUUUUAAGGUGGGAAUUGCUUUGGAUACUGUCGGGCUUGAGUGCAGGAGAGGUAAGCGGAAUUCCCGGUGUGGCGGUGAAAUGCGUAGAGAUCGGGAGGAACACCAGUGGCGAAGGCGGCUUACUGGACUGUAACUGACGCUGAGGCGCGAAAGUGUGGGGAGCAAACAGGAUUAGAAACCCUGGUAGUCC